GAGGAGACGCUGGCGGCGUGGAUUAGGCAUGCAAGUCGAACGGUAUCAUCCUUUCGGGGAUGAGAGAGUGGCGAACGGGUGAGUAACACGUAGGUGAUCUACCCUCAAGACGGGGACAACCCAGGGAAACUUGGGGCUAAUACCGGAUGUGAGCUAUCGCGAGAUAGUUUGAAAGGUGGCUUCGGCUGCCGCUUGAGGAUGAGCCUGCGUCCUAUUAGCUAGUUGGUGAGGUAACGGCUCACCGAGGCAGUGAUAGGUAGGCGGCCUUAACGGGUGGUCGCCCACACUGGGAUUGAGAUACGGCCCAGACUCCUACGGGAGGCAGCAGUCGAGAAUAGUCUACAAUGGUCGAAAGACUGAUAGUGCGACGCCGCGUGAACGAAGAAGCCCUUCGGGGUGUAAAGUUCUUUUAUAUGUGAGCAGUGACACCCAUAUUAAUAGUAUGGGUGUAGAGAUAUUAGCAUAUGAAUAAGCAACGGCUAACUCCGUG
RNAcentral lists this ribosomal RNA (490 nucleotides) under uncultured bacterium. RNAcentral's name for it is "bacterial SSU rRNA". It matches the Rfam family "Bacterial small subunit ribosomal RNA", at positions 27 to 507 of the family's 1533-position model. The record is from RNAcentral.